GUGGGGAAUAUUCCGCAAUGGACGAAAGUCUGACGGAGCGACGCCGCGUGAGUGAAGAAGGCCUUCGGGUCGUAAAGCUCUGUCAUCAGGGACGAACGGCCGGUGGAGUGGAAAGCCACCGGAUUGACGGUACCUGAGAAGGAAGCCACGGCUAACUACGUGCCAGCAGCCGCGGUAAUACGUAGGUGGCAAGCGUUGUCCGGAAUUAUUGGGCGUAAAGCGCGCGCAGGUGGGAUCUUAAGUCCAUUUUUAAAGUUCGGAGCUCAACUCCGUGAUGGGAUGGAAACUGGGAUUCUUGAGUACCGGAGAGGAAAGCGGAAUUCCCCGUGUAGCGGUGAAAUGCGUAGAUAUGGGGAGGAACACCAGUGGCGAAGGCGGCUUUCUGGACGGUGUCUGACACUGAGGCGCGAAAGCCAGGGGAGCGAACGGGAUUAGAAACCCCAGUAGUCC
Molecule: ribosomal RNA, 450 nt
Filed under: uncultured bacterium
Lineage: Bacteria
Description: partial 16S ribosomal RNA
Rfam family: Bacterial small subunit ribosomal RNA
Source: RNAcentral